RNAcentral lists this transfer RNA (87 nucleotides) under bacterium. RNAcentral describes it as "tRNA-Ser". It matches the Rfam family "tRNA". From Rfam's summary of the family: Transfer RNA (tRNA) molecules are approximately 80 nucleotides in length. Their secondary structure includes four short double-helical elements and three loops (D, anti-codon, and T loops). The record is from RNAcentral.
GGUGGGGUGGCUGAGUGGUCGAAAGCGCCACACUCGAAAUGUGGUGUACCCGAAAGGGUACCGUGAGUUCGAAUCUCACCCCCACCG